GAUGAAGAACGCAGCGAAAUGCGAUAAGUAGUGUGAAUUGCAGAAUUCAGUGAAUCAUCGAAUCUUUGAACGCACAUUGCGCCCCUUGGUAUUCCAUGGGGCAUGCCUGUUCGAGCGUCAUUUGUACCUUCAAGCUCUGCUUGGUGUUGGGUGUUUGUCCUUGCUCUAGUGGCGGGACUCGCCUUAAAGUAAUUGGCAGCCAGUGUUUUGGUUUUGAAGCGCAGCACAAAUCGCGAUUCAAGUCUAUACGCUAGUUUCCACAAGUCUUUUAUCACUUUUGACCUCGGAUCAGGUAGGGAUACCCGCUGAACUUAAGCAUAUCAAUAAGCGGAGGA
Molecule: unclassified non-coding RNA, 335 nt
Filed under: soil metagenome
Description: partial contains 5.8S ribosomal RNA, internal transcribed spacer 2, and large subunit ribosomal RNA
Rfam family: 5.8S ribosomal RNA (bases 1-120)
Source: RNAcentral